Clupea harengus (Atlantic herring) is the source of this 2262-nucleotide long non-coding RNA. The record is from Ensembl. NCBI's taxonomy places the organism in Eukaryota, Metazoa, Chordata, Actinopteri, Clupeiformes, Clupeidae.
UUAAGACACUUGUCAUCAAAAUGAACAUAAUCCACGCACAACUUCUUCAACAGUACGACAGAUUUGAUAAAUCAGUGAGGGCAGCUAUUCCCAUCAUUUUCAAAAUAUGGUCAUGUUUGUAGCUAUGCUACCAGAUGGGGUUAUGGUUAUAAGUAAUGUUUCUUGUAUUGAUGGAUUGAGCUUUUUUAUCUGUGUGGUUGUACUGAUGUACUGGUCUGUAUGGUGGUGGUGAGCUUUUGAUGACUGUGAUUGAUGUUUGAUGAAUACAAGUGUCUUAAGCUGUCAUGCCUGACUGGGCCAAAGGACCCAGCCUGCACACCGGGAAGAUGGAUUUGGCAAGCCCUGGAACAAAACGUGAAAAACUGAAGUAUAUAAAUGUGUAUGCCACCCCCUAAGGAGUUUGGUUAAAAAGCUAAACUAAAAAACAUGUUUGAAUAAAUUAAAGCUAAAAAAAAGAACAAGAACAAUAUAAAUCGAAGCUCAAAUGGGAUUUAAGCAGCACAAGUCUCAAUGAGAGGGGGUUGCAGUGCUUUUUUCUGGAAGUUUAGCCAUAUGUCACUGGCUGAGACAGGUGUGGCUGUUAAUGAUGAUUAUAAUGUUGGUCACGUCUGAUCAACACACUGCACUGUGCUGUACGAGGACUCUUUAUUCCCCCUACUGAACGCUAAGACAAUGUUCAGCUCACACGGGUGCCCCGUCCAUGCCUCGUCAGGCACUCAAGCGCACACAGGGGGCGCUGUUCUGUACAGGCACAUAGGGCUCAUCCAAUUACUCACACUUGCACCCUUGCAGCCUCAAGGUGGGUUAGUUAUUGUGAUGUAGAAUGGUGGACAACAAGACAUCUCAUUUUUUCACCCUUCUAACGUUUUGAAAGAUCACACCCCUGUCACGCACCCUUCGGACACUUCACAAAAGUGCCACCUCAAGGAGCGCUCUAAGGGUGCAAGUGUAAGUAAUGAAAGUAGACCAUAGUAACACUUUGAGCACACUCCUGCAUGGCUUACCCCGAGAUGAAUCUUUUCAGAUGCCGUACAUUUGUGUUCAAAUGCUAUAGGAAGAAAAAGAAAAAGAAUAUCUAUUUUUGCCAGAAUUUAAAAAAAAAACAGCAACCCUAGACCCCAUGUGUCAUAUCUUAGCUCUUCGCUUCUAGCACCUCACACAAGCUGCCAAAACUUUGUUUAUUUUCUAUAGUGUAGAGUUUAGGCACCUCCACAACAGGAGUAGAGAUUUGAUGAAUCAGUUAAACACCCAUUUUUUGGGAGUAUUGAGGAGUAGACAGACAAAAGGCACAGUUAGUAAUAUAAAGCUGCCUCUUUAACUCACAGUGUGUACGUUUGUUUGGAUGGCAAACACUCCCCAUGUGCUUGGAAACAAAAAGACGUUCAGGAUGUUUUUGUGUGCAUACUCCCAUUAAGUCCCACGGUUGGAAAAUCCUGUCCACUGUUUUUUUUAUUUUCUUAAAGGGUAGUACUCUCUAUUGCACCUUUAAUGUGUGAAUCAAAUGUAGCUGUUUUCUUUUGGUUAGUUUUGGAGAAUCACACUUAACUACGGAAGGUAUAAGAGGACGUCAAGCGAAGGCUCUGGCUGGAGGUCCAGCUGGAGGAUAUGACAGCCUUACGAUGUUUGAAACCAUGGUAACAGCACUUGUCCACCUUCUUGUGGAACAGAUGCACAGUUGGUUUUAGAUUUUGGUUUUUGUAACCUUGAAAAAUGAUUUGUGAAUUUAAAUGAAUGUAAAACGGCCCUUUGAUAAUCCAUUUUACUGCUCCUUUCGUUUCUAUUGUUUUUUUUUAAAAUGUUUUGUAUAUUUAAUUCCUUUUUAUUUUGAGCGUUUCUUUGCUGUUUUUGUUUUUUUCCCCCAGAAUUUUCAACCUCAGUGUUUGGGUUCGUCACAGGUUUCAAAGCCAGAGGAAUACUUUUAUUUUUAUUUUUAAGUUAUUUUGCUCUUUUUUCUGUCUAUCCUUGAAUGGAUGAGUGAGUGAGGUACUCCAGACACCAACUGGGAAUAAAGGAUGUUUCUCUUCACUGUAUUACCAUUCAUGCAUCACAAGUUUUGUCCAUUUUGGCCAGGAAAUAAAGAUUUCUUUUUUAAAAGAUGUUGUUGCUGUCAAUGAUGGUUGCGGUGGAGGUGGUGGAGAUUGUGUGUUUGUGUGUGUCAAUUAAAUUGCUAGCUUUUAUUUAGCAUAUUCCACUUUUUAAUUUCCACACUUUUAGACAUCCCUUUUACAACAACAUGGUUGACUAUCCAGAUGGUGAACAAAG